Monomorium pharaonis (pharaoh ant) is the source of this 2681-nucleotide long non-coding RNA. RefSeq lists it as uncharacterized. The record is from RefSeq and is a predicted model, not a curated record. NCBI's taxonomy places the organism in Eukaryota, Metazoa, Arthropoda, Insecta, Hymenoptera, Formicidae. The transcript is spliced from 3 exons.
GUUCGUUUAACAAGUGCAGCUCGAGAUUCGUCAUUUGCGAUCGCGUUCGUUGUUAGGUUAUAAUCUUGUCGCGAUAAAAACCUCGGUAACAAAGGUGUAAUUGAGUUUCGUUUCGUGAGUGCUGCGUUACUGCUAGUGACUCGGGUAUAUCGUGGGCAUUGAAGGGAGUACGAGAGGAGCUUCACCCCCGCGGAUUUGCGGGUAUUUCGGUGGGAACUUAAUAAUCCGCGGCUCGAUAAUAACGAUUCGUGGAAGCUGGGGCUGGAAUCGCGCGCGCGGCAAAAAUGCGGCAGUCAUCUCCCUCCCUCUUUCUCUCUUUCUCUCUACCACGAUCCUCGCGUCGGGACGACGACAUCGUGGCAUUAGUAAAAACGCGAUAUUGUCUGACUCAACAGGUUGCCGCCGCCGCCCCCGCGGCUGACGGCGGCGGCGGUGGAGUUGCCACCCCGCACGCGCCGCCAGCUUUGUAUUAAAUAAACCUGACGCGCUCUGUGGGGUGAUCUCUCUCUCUUUCUCUCCCUUUUAUCGGACUUGUCGGACGAAGACCGAAAGAAAGAGAGACAGACAUCCACGUACAGUCCAUUAGUGACGUUAUUAAGUAUCUAAUUCAGUGCUUUUCUGUCGAUCUCUAGCGAAACGAAACGUGAUGUUUCUCGCGCGCUCUUCUCGCCGUAGUUUCGUGAGAAAGAGACUUCUUAAUUGGAGUUACGUCGACGUGGAGAGAUUUUGCGUCACUUGGAGCAGCGAGAAUUCAUAAUAAGGGAUCAAGUGGUUCGUGCAAAUGUUUAGACCAGUGGACCAGUAGACCAGUAGACCAGUAGACUAGUGGACGUCGUACCAAAAAGAUACAUUUGUGAGAUACACCCACAAUGAGAUCAUAUUUUAAAGAGGAACCGUUCUCUCUGUACGCUUUUGUCCGCUCUUGAUCUCGCAAACACGAGAGCAUCGUCAUUACGAAAAGGGACUCUCACCAUGUGCAAUCCACGGUCGACCUGAGAGCUCGAAAAUCCCAAUCAGCUGCUCGCCAGAUAUUCGAGCAAACAAGGGAUUCGCUCCGACAAUAGAAUUGUGCUUCUCUCGUCUCCGCGCCACGCUCGCGCGUGCUCGGCUGCACAUGCGUACAUAUUUUCCAGGGCGCGUUUUCUCUGGCGUGCAUGUGAGGCCAUGGAAAUUUGAGAGCCUCGCCAGAACUUCGUGUCGCAUGUCCUCAAGGUGUUCGAUUUACACAAAAAAUUUGGUUAUUUAGCGUGGAUUUUGUGCGUGUCCAUGAAAGUAGAGACUCGAAAAAGUAUGCGUUUUAUUAAAUUCAAAGAUUUUUUUUUUACACUUUCUCUUAUGUAACUGACACAAACUUUUCUUAAAUCGAUGUUUAUAGUUUUUACUUUCACAUUUCUUAUAUUUAAAUUUGUUUUGCCAUGAACUUAAAAAUUCCAUGUAGCAACAAGAGGCUUAGUGUCUCAAGGCUGUACUUAUAACAAUAAAAUAUAUUUUAGGCUCGGAUUAUAAAUACUACAGCUUUAGAAUUCAAAAAAUAAUAAUCUUUCUUUCUAAACUUACUUUUUUUUUAAGCAAAAGAGUUAACUCUUUUUUGAACGCUUUUGUUGUCACUUUUAAUUUAUUGAGCAGAAAAUUGUUUUAAGAAAGAAUAAUUGUUUCAUGAUCAGUUUCGAAAGUAGCUUUCUCCAACAGAAGAUCAGUUUUUUUUCUCGAGGAACAAAUAGUUUUACUUUACUGUUAAAGUAACUCUUUUUAGAAGGAACGUUUUUUAGGACGGUUGUCCAUUGCUUUCUAUAUCGUAUUUCUGAACCCUUUUCUGCCGCAUUAUUCGUUCUCAACCCUUUCAUUGUGCCGCACUAUCGAAACCCAUCGAGAAACUUUUCUUUCUCUCUCUACUGUAAUUCAUCUUUCGAUGCGUCCUGGUGCGCCCUAACGAAAGAUCCCGAUUUCGCCCUGAAACCGUAAAAAUCUGCAACGACCGUUUCAUUUCCCCUAUCCGUCGACAUUAUUUCUCUCUCCUCCUCCCUCCCACCGCGUCGAUGAUCAUCCUCAAACACGCACGGACGGUCUCCUCUUCACGAAAUUCAACUCUUGCUCCAGCUCUCCCCACGUUCCCACGGAAUCCUUUUUCCCGAAAAUACUAGCUCUCUUUUCCUCUUUCACGUCGUUUCUCUUUCGCUCCUUCGUGCGCACAUAUACGUUACCCGGGGGUUGCCUAUGCCUGGUUAAAAGAAUCCGCGUCGCGGCGAAAAAAAGACUUGCGCGUAUUGUCACGGUGAAAUCCGUUUUAUGGGCAAAUUUUGAUGGACGUGAAAAAACAUAGCGGCUCGCUGAGUGGCAGAAACUCUUGGCGGGAGACACUGAAAUAUUUUGAAUGUUCAUCAGAACUAAAGAAAUUUGAUUAAAAAUUGGAUCAAAACCUUUUUUUCUCGGUCUAGAGGAAUGAUAUACUUCGCGCCUAAUAAGUUCAGACGAUUCGAGAUUAACGGUAACGGUUUGUCGGCGGGAAAUCAGAGCAAUUUUCCGCGACCGGCCGGCGCUCCGGGAGGAGAGGCAACGAAUCCGGCGCUCGAAUGCACCAACGCGACGCACUCGUGAGCAAACAAAGUCGACGGCGACGUUAGGCGGGAUGUGCCUUGUGCAUAUAUAGACGGCAACACGGAGGGCCCGUUCUCUCUCCCUCU